RNAcentral lists this long non-coding RNA (529 nucleotides) under Equus caballus (horse). Its description in RNAcentral is "lncRNA (ENSECAG00000055676.1)". The record is from RNAcentral. Lineage: Eukaryota; Metazoa; Chordata; Mammalia; Perissodactyla; Equidae.
GUCACAAGGCCAGGUCACAGGGUGCACACGUCCUCCUCCCAUGUCAUGUCAGCUUUCUGCCGAGGCCUCAGGAAGAGCACAGAACCAGUGAAAGUAUUUCUCAGGGCUUCAUCUACUCUGAUGUGACCGACUGCUAAGUGUGGAAACAAGCCAAGAGAACUGUACAAGCGCUGUCGUGUCCUUCCUGUGCAUUGUGUCCUGAGGAACGUGGUGGCGUUUGUCCCAUCACAGCUUUGAUGAAGCAAUUGGCCAUGUUGGGGGUCCCAGGUGGUGAGGAACUGUGGGCCGCUUCCAGGACCUCCAGUACUCCAGCAAUAAGCCAUGGCCCUUGGUCAUACAGCUUCAAGGAAAUGAAAUCCACCAACAACUUGAGUGAGGAGUAGAUGGUUCCUUCCCCAGCUGAGCCACCAGAUGAGAGCCCCGCCCUGAUGGCGGCCUUGCAGAGAACCCAGCUAAGCUGUUCCUGGACUGCUGACCCACCAGGACUGUAAUAUAAUAGCUGCUAAUUAGUGGUAAUUUGUUAUGGAGC